UACGUAGGGGGCAAGCGUUGUCCGGAUUUAUUGGGCGUAAAGAGCGUGUAGGCGGCCAGGUAGGUCCGCUGUGAAAACUCGAGGCUCAACCUCGAGAUGUCGGCGGAAACCAUCUGGCUAGAGUCCGGAAGAGGAGAGUGGAAUUCCUGGUGUAGCGGUGAAAUGCGCAGAUAUCAGGAAGAACACCCGUGGCGAAGGCGGCUCUCUGGGACGGUACUGACGCUGAGACGCGAAAGCGUGGGUAGCAAACAGG
This 253-nucleotide ribosomal RNA is filed under the name uncultured bacterium. RNAcentral describes it as "partial 16S ribosomal RNA". It matches the Rfam family "Bacterial small subunit ribosomal RNA", at positions 524 to 776 of the family's 1533-position model. The record is from RNAcentral.